Molecule: long non-coding RNA, 111 nt
Organism: Leptinotarsa decemlineata (Colorado potato beetle)
Lineage: Eukaryota; Metazoa; Arthropoda; Insecta; Coleoptera; Chrysomelidae
Source: RefSeq, a predicted model, not a curated record
UCGGAGGAUAUUUAUAUCCAGUUUUUUUCCAACUGUAUAUGAAAACGUCUUCGAAUUAUUAGGGUUCGAUAAUCGGAGGCGUUUUUUUUUUAAUAACUUUUUGUACCACCC